GCCAGGCAUGGUGGCAGGUGCCGAUAGUCCCAGCUACUCGGGAGGCUGAGGUGAGGUGGGAGGAUUGCUUGAGCCCAGGAGUUCUGGGCUGUAGUGUACUAUGCCCAAUCAGGUGUCCACACUAAGAUUGGCAUCAAUAUGGUGACCUCUCGGGAGUGGGGAACCACCAGGUUGCCUAGAUGUGAGCCAGCCCAGGUCAGAAACAGAGCAGGUCAAAACUCCCAAGCUGAUCAGUAGUGGAAUUGUGCCUGUGAAUAGCCACUGCACUCCAGCCUGGGCAACAUAGCGAAACCCCCCAUCUCU
Molecule: signal recognition particle RNA, 303 nt
Filed under: Cebus imitator (Panamanian white-faced capuchin)
Lineage: Eukaryota; Metazoa; Chordata; Mammalia; Primates; Cebidae
Description: Metazoan signal recognition particle RNA (ENSCCAG00000007684.1)
Rfam family: Metazoan signal recognition particle RNA
About the family: The signal recognition particle (SRP) is a universally conserved ribonucleoprotein.
Source: RNAcentral